GUUCAGAAACUUGGAAUCUUCAUCUGUUAGUUCAUCGGCGUCUUUAGGCGGUUGGAUCACUUUCUUCACAGCUAUGAUCUUCCCAUUGCUUCCUGGUAGUUCAGCUUUGAAAACUUCUCCACAACCUCCUCUUCCUAUGAUCUCCAGAGAAGCUAACGCUUCUUCAUUCUCCAAGAAAGCUAAAUCUUC
This is a non-coding RNA of Arabidopsis thaliana (thale cress), 189 nucleotides long. RefSeq annotates it as other RNA. The record is from RefSeq. Lineage: Eukaryota; Viridiplantae; Streptophyta; Magnoliopsida; Brassicales; Brassicaceae. The transcript has a single exon.